RNAcentral lists this ribosomal RNA (253 nucleotides) under uncultured bacterium. RNAcentral's name for it is "partial 16S ribosomal RNA". It matches the Rfam family "Bacterial small subunit ribosomal RNA", at positions 524 to 776 of the family's 1533-position model. The record is from RNAcentral.
UACGGAGGGGGCUAGCGUUGUUCGGAAUUACUGGGCGUAAAGCGCACGUAGGCGGCUUUGUAAGUUAGAGGUGAAAGCCCAGGGCUCAACCCUGGAAUUGCCUUUAAGACUGCAUCGCUUGAAUCAUGGAGAGGGGAGUGGAAUUCCGAGUGUAGAGGUGAAAUUCGUAGAUAUUCGGAAGAACACCAGUGGCGAAGGCGACUCACUGGACAUGUAUUGACGCUGAGGUGCGAAAGCGUGGGGAGCAAACAGG